MicroRNA precursor from Oryza sativa Japonica Group (Japanese rice), 192 nucleotides. It matches the Rfam family "MIR812 microRNA precursor family". The record is from Rfam. NCBI's taxonomy places the organism in Eukaryota, Viridiplantae, Streptophyta, Magnoliopsida, Poales, Poaceae.
AAACACCGUAGUUUUGCACCGUUUAUGUCUAACAUUUAGUCAUCCGUCUUAUUUGAAAGAUUUCUAUGAUUAGUAUUUUUUUUAUUUAGAUGAUAAAACAUGAAUAAUGCUUUAUGUGUGACUUUUUUUUUAAAAAAAUUAAAUAAGGCUGACGGUGAAUAUUGAACACGGAAAUCCAUAACUGCAUUUAAA